CUGGAGCUUGCUCCGGCCGAUUAGUGGCGAACGGGUGAGUAACACGUGAGCAAUCUGCCCUUGACUCUGGGAUAACUGCGGGAAACUGUAGCUAAUACCGGAUACUUUCCUCGCUGGGCAUCCAGCGGGGAAGAAAGAAUUUCGGUCAAGGAUGAGCUCGCGGCCUAUCAGCUAGUUGGUGAGGUAAAGGCUCACCAAGGCGACGACGGGUAGCCGGCCUGAGAGGGUGACCGGCCACACUGGAACUGAGACACGGUCCAGACUCCUACGGGAGGCAGCAGUGGGGAAUAUUGCACAAUGGGCGAAAGCCUGAUGCAGCAACGCCGCGUGAGGGAUGAAGGCCUUCGGGUUGUAAACCUCUUUUAGCAGGGAAGAAGCGAAAGUGACGGUACCUGCAGAAAAAGCACCGGCUAACUACGUGCCAGCAGCCGCGGUAAUACGUAGGGUGCAAGCGUUGUCCGGAAUUAUUGGGCGUAAAGAGCUCGUAGGCGGUUUGUCACGUCUGCUGUGAAAAUCCGAGGCUCAACCUCGGACUUGCAGUGGGUACGGGCAGGCUAGAGUGCGGUAGGGGAGAAGGGAAUUCCUGGUGUAGCGGUGGAAUGCGCAGAUAUCAGGAGGAACACCAAUGGCGAAGGCACUUCUCUGGGCCGUAACUGACGCUGAGGAGCGAAAGCGUGGGGAGCGAACAGGAUUAGAUACCCUGGUAGUCCACGCCGUAAACGGUGGGUGCUAGCUGUGGGCCACAUUCCACGUGGUCCGUGACG
RNAcentral lists this ribosomal RNA (764 nucleotides) under uncultured Actinomycetes bacterium. RNAcentral describes it as "bacterial SSU rRNA". It matches the Rfam family "Bacterial small subunit ribosomal RNA", at positions 73 to 848 of the family's 1533-position model. The record is from RNAcentral. Lineage: Bacteria; Bacillati; Actinomycetota; Actinomycetes.